Molecule: Y RNA, 96 nt
Filed under: Macaca fascicularis (crab-eating macaque)
Lineage: Eukaryota; Metazoa; Chordata; Mammalia; Primates; Cercopithecidae
Description: Y RNA (ENSMFAG00000065329.1)
Rfam family: Y RNA
About the family: Y RNAs are components of the Ro ribonucleoprotein particle (Ro RNP), in association with Ro60 and La proteins. The Y RNAs and Ro60 and La proteins are well conserved, but the function of the Ro RNP is not known.
Source: Rfam by way of RNAcentral
GGCUGGUCCUAUGGUAGUGGAUUAUCAGAACUGAUUAACAUUAGUGUCACUAAAGUUGGUAUACAACCCCUCACUGCUAAAUUUGAUUGGCUUUAA